GCGUCCCAUUAGCUUGUUGGUAGGGUAACGGCCUACCAAGGCUACGAUGGGUAGCUGGUCUGAGAGGAUGAUCAGCCACACUGGAACUGACACACGGUCCAGACUCCUACGGGAGGCAGCAGUGAGGAAUUUUGCGCAAUGGGGGAAACCCUGACGCAGCAACGCCGCGUGAGUGAUGAAGGCCUUCGGGUCGUAAAGCUCUGUCAAGUGGGAAGAACCUGUGAACGGCCAAUACCCGUUUACACUGACGGUACCACUGAAGGAAGCACCGGCUAACUCCGUGCCAGCAGCCGCGGUAAUACGGGGGGUGCAAGCGUUACUCGGAAUCAUUGGGCGUAAAGGGCGCGUAGGCGGCCCGGUAAGUCAGGUGUGAAAGCCCGGGGCUCAACCCCGGAAGUGCAUUUGAUACUGCCAGGCUUGAGUAUGGGAGAGGGAAGUGGAAUUCCUGGUGUAGAGGUGAAAUUCGUUGAUAUCAGGAGGAACACCGGUGGCGAAGGCGACUUCCUGGACCAAUACUGACGCUGAGGCGCGAAGGCGUGGGGAGCAAACAGGAUUAGAUACCCUGGUAGUCCACGCAGUAAACGUUGUUCACUAGGUGUAGCGGGUAUUGACCCCUGCUGUGCCGAAGCUAACGCAUUAA
Molecule: ribosomal RNA, 640 nt
Filed under: uncultured bacterium
Lineage: Bacteria
Description: bacterial SSU rRNA
Rfam family: Bacterial small subunit ribosomal RNA
Source: RNAcentral